CCUACGGGGCGCAGCAGUGGGGAAUAUUGCACAAUGGGGGAAACCCUGAUGCAGCAACGCCGCGUGAAGGAAGACGGUUUUCGGAUUGUAAACUUCUGUUCUUAGUGAAGAAAAAUGACGGUAGCUAAGGAGCAAGCCACGGCUAACUACGUGCCAGCAGCCGCGGUAAUACGUAGGGGGCAAGCGUUAUCCGGAUUUACUGGGUGUAAAGGGAGCGUAGACGGCAGUGCAAGUCUGAAGUGAAAGGCAAGGGCUCAACCCUUGGACUGCUUUGGAAACUGUGCUGCUCGAGUGUCGGAGAGGCA
Molecule: ribosomal RNA, 305 nt
Filed under: uncultured bacterium
Lineage: Bacteria
Description: bacterial SSU rRNA
Rfam family: Bacterial small subunit ribosomal RNA
Source: RNAcentral